CAGGAUGGAAAGGAAGCCCUGAAUAUGCAUGAUCUUGUCUGAUCUCAUAAGCUAAACAAGGUCAGACAUGGUUAGUAUGGGAUGAGAGAACAUAGAAGGAAACCCUUGGCUUCCUCCACU
RNAcentral lists this ribosomal RNA (120 nucleotides) under Otolemur garnettii (small-eared galago). The record is from RNAcentral. Lineage: Eukaryota; Metazoa; Chordata; Mammalia; Primates; Galagidae.